GUAUAGCUGAAGAGUCAUAAAUAGGACGAAACGGGCGUCCUGUAU
Molecule: non-coding RNA, 45 nt
Organism: Schistosoma margrebowiei
Lineage: Eukaryota; Metazoa; Platyhelminthes; Trematoda; Strigeidida; Schistosomatidae
Source: Rfam